Molecule: long non-coding RNA, 631 nt
Organism: Herpailurus yagouaroundi (jaguarundi)
Lineage: Eukaryota; Metazoa; Chordata; Mammalia; Carnivora; Felidae
Exons: 3
Source: RefSeq, a predicted model, not a curated record
CCCUCCGCGCCCCCGGAACUCCGCGGCGGUCCCGCCUCUGCUCGUGGAAGUGGCCGCGGCGGGCCGCUCACCGGCGGCCGGCUGCUCCCCCGAGGCCGGCGGCUGGGCCGGGGGCUCCGACCUCGGGGAGCCUCCGCUCCGCGCGGCCUGAGUCCCGAGCUGUCCGGCCCCAGCCUGUGCGAGGCCAGGCCCCAUCCGCCCCCUGGAGCUGGACGGCAGGUGCCGCAGGUCGGGCUCCGGAGCGUGGUGUGCGGAGCCGCCGGGCUGACCGACCGGCGGGAGUCGGCCUGGGGCCCCUCCCCAGACUCCACGGCUGGGCUCGCUGAGCCUUGGGCCCCUCCACGGUGAAGCAGGAUGGUUGUGAGCAUUCCAGGCUGAUUCAUCUAAUGGGAAUUUGAAUGCUGGUGGAAAACUGUACAGAAAAUCCAGUGCUCUGGAAAGUGAUUCCGGAAAGGAGUAAAAAGAAGACUGCUAUUCAAGAAAGUACCUUACUUUUGGUUAAUUCUAAUAGGUCAUUCCAUUUUGGGCCCUUUCGUUUCUUUUUUCAUCUUUCUAUAAUUUUGUUUACGUAUUCAGUACACCACCCAGUGCUCAUCACAAGUGCCCUCCUUAGUACCCAUUGCCCAUCUAG